Molecule: ribosomal RNA, 441 nt
Filed under: uncultured bacterium
Lineage: Bacteria
Description: partial 16S ribosomal RNA
Rfam family: Bacterial small subunit ribosomal RNA
Source: RNAcentral
CCUACGUGAGGCAGCAGUGGGGGAUAUUGCACAAUGGGGGAAACCCUGAUGCAGCGACGCCGCGUGUGGGAAGACGGUCCUCUGGAUUGUAAACCACUGUCCCCAGGGACGAAGAUGACGGUACCUGGGGAGGAAGCUCCGGCUAAAUACGUGCCAGCAGCCGCGGUAAUACGUAUGGUGCAAGCGUUAUCCGGAUUUACUGGGUGUAAAGGGAGCGCAGGCGGCACGGCAAGCCUGAUGUGAAAGCCCGCGGCCCAACCGCGGGACUGCAUUGGGAACUACCGGGCUGGAGUGCCGGAGAGGUAGGCGGAAUUCCUAGUGUAGCGGUGAAAUGCGUAGAUAUUAGGAGGAACACCAGUGGCGAAGGCGGCCUACUGGACGGUGACUGACGCUGAGGCUCGAAAGCGUGGGGAGCAAACAGGAUUAGAUACCCCAGUAGUC